This 786-nucleotide long non-coding RNA is filed under the name Paramuricea clavata. The record is from RNAcentral. Lineage: Eukaryota; Metazoa; Cnidaria; Anthozoa; Malacalcyonacea; Plexauridae.
GGGUUUGAGAUUAGAUUUUUUUGUAGGUAUCCAUCAUGGAUACCAGCAUUGGGCUAUUCCAUUUAAUAUCCGUACCCCCCCUGUCGAGGAUCCCUGGAAUUCUUCAGGGGUAAAGGGUUUUGAGCUUGGAAUUCUUCAGGGGUAAAGUGUUUUGAGCUUGGAAUUCUUCAGGGGUAAAGGGUUUUGAGCUUGGAAUUCUUCAGGGGUAAAUGGUUUUGAGCUUGGAAUUCUUCAGGGGUAAAGGGUUUUGAGCUUGGAAUUCUUCAGGGGUAAAGAGGUUUGAGAUUGAAAUUUUUCAGAGCUUGGAAUUCUUCAGGGGUGAAGGAUUUUGAGCUUGGAAUUCUUCUGGGGUAAAAGGUUUCGAGCUUGAAAUUCUUCCGGGGUAAAGGGUUUUGAGCUUGGAAUUCUUUAGGGGUGAAAGGUUUUGAGCUUGGAAUUCUUCAGGGGUAAAAGGUUUUGAGCUUGGAAUUCUUCAGGGAUAAAGGGUUUUGAGCUUGGAAUUUUGGAAUUCUUCAGGGGUAAAAGGUUUUGAGCUUGGAAUUCUUCAGGGGUAAAGAGUUUUGAGCUUGGAAUUUUGGAAUUCUUCAGGGGUAAACAGUUUUGAGCUUGGAAUUCUUCAGGGGUAUGACAAUGAAAAACAUGUAUCCUCGACAGGGGGGUACGGAUAUUAAAUGGAAUAGCCCAUUUCUAUGUUGGUAUCCAAAGUCAACAUGUGGUAUCCAACUUUGACACUGUAUGUGGAUGGUCCAGUAAAUUAAAAAAAGUUAUGUGACACCACCCGUUCAC